UGGUGCGUGAGAAACUGUAAGAAUUGGAAGACUGUUUUAUGGUCCUUUUAAUCAUGAUUUAAUCAGACAUUAUGUGCUUCGGAAUUUUUUGUUUAUGGCUUCAGCAGAUAUCUAAGCUCUCUCAGUUCUGGUCGGGCUGCCUGAGGCUGGCUCUGCCCUUCAUGUUCCUAGGCACAUAGCCAGCUCAGUUGGUAAGUUGCAGUUUGUAAUUUUCCAUUACUCUAGCAGGAUAGUUAGUAAAAUUUGCAAACUUAUGCAGCAAAUGCAAUCUGGCGAAAGAAGGGAAAUAGAUGUUUGAUCGCUCAUGAUCAGUGUGGACAGGGGCAGUAGCAGUGCAAUAGCAGCAAGGCUAGAAACUACAACAGUAGCCGGGUAAUACUAGUUUGUUUUUACACACAGCAGCUCCUCCUCUCCUCCCCUCGUUCUCCGAGCUACAACUUUCACAUUCGCAGGAAGCUGUCCCACGCAGCUCUCGAGCAGACGUCUGCGGUCCUAUUGUCUGUGAUGUUGCUUGACAUUCUGGUCCUGCCUGUGGGCGAGUCUCAGCCUGCGAGUGUCUGGUCCCGGCGCAGACCGGCUGCCUCCUCACAGCUUCACUGCAGUCACUCUGAAGACAUGGAGUUCAGGGCCACGCUCACAACUGUGGCGCUCUGGGCUCUGCUGCAGUGGCUGGUUGAGUCUUCUGCUACGCAGACUUGUAGUGCACCCAGGGAUACCUUUAAAAGACUUGUAAGUAGAAUUUACAUUCAAAAGUACAUUAACUUACAUGCCGAACACAUCUUCUUCCCAGCCAAAUAUAGUAAGUUAGUACUGCUGAGGAU
Molecule: long non-coding RNA, 821 nt
Filed under: Lepisosteus oculatus (spotted gar)
Lineage: Eukaryota; Metazoa; Chordata; Actinopteri; Semionotiformes; Lepisosteidae
Description: lncRNA (ENSLOCG00000022815.1)
Source: RNAcentral